UGUAUACUUGUACCAACUGGAUGAGCAGCGAACGGGUGAGUAACGCGUGGGGAAUCUGCCUUUGAGCGGGGGACAACAUUUGGAAACGAAUGCUAAUACCGCAUAAAAACUUUAAACACAAGUUUUAAGUUUGAAAGAUGCAAUUGCAUCACUCAAAGAUGAUCCCGCGUUGUAUUAGCUAGUUGGUGAGGUAAAGGCUCACCAAGGCGAUGAUACAUAGCCGACCUGAGAGGGUGAUCGGCCACAUUGGGACUGAGACACGGCCCAAACUCCUACGGGAGGCAGCAGUAGGGAAUCUUCGGCAAUGGACGAAAGUCUGACCGAGCAACGCCGCGUGAGUGAAGAAGGUUUUCGGAUCGUAAAACUCUGUUGGUAGAGAAGAACGUUGGUGAGAGUGGAAAGCUCAUCAAGUGACGGUAACUACCCAGAAAGGGACGGCUAACUACGUGCCAGCAGCCGCGGUAAUACGUAGGUCCCGAGCGUUGUCCGGAUUUAUUGGGCGUAAAGCGAGCGCAGGUGGUUUAUUAAGUCUGGUGUAAAAGGCAGUGGCUCAACCAUUGUAUGCAUUGGAAACUGGUAGACUUGAGUGCAGGAGAGGAGAGUGGAAUUCCAUGUGUAGCGGUGAAAUGCGUAGAUAUAUGGAGGAACACCGGUGGCGAAAGCGGCUCUCUGGCCUGUAACUGACACUGAGGCUCGAAAGCGUGGGGAGCAAACAGGAUUAGAUACCCUGGUAGUCCACGCCGUAAACGAUGAGUGCUAGAUGUAGGGAGCUAUAAGUUCUCUGUAUCGCAGCUAACGCAAUAAGCACUCCGCCUGGGGAGUACGACCGCAAGGUUGAAACUCAAAGGAAUUGACGGGGGCCCGCACAAGCGGUGGAGCAUGUGGUUUAAUUCGAAGCAACGCGAAAACCUUACCAGGUCUUGACAUACUCGUGCUUUUCCUAGAGAUAGGAAGUUCCUUCGGAACCGGAUACAGGUGGUGCAUGGUUGUCGUCAGCUCGUGUCGUGAGAUGUUGGGUUAAGUUCCGCACGAGCGCACCCCUAUUGUUAGUUGCCAUCAUAGUGGCACUCUAACG
RNAcentral lists this ribosomal RNA (1075 nucleotides) under Priestia megaterium. RNAcentral's name for it is "bacterial SSU rRNA". It matches the Rfam family "Bacterial small subunit ribosomal RNA", at positions 68 to 1145 of the family's 1533-position model. The record is from RNAcentral. Lineage: Bacteria; Bacillati; Bacillota; Bacilli; Caryophanales; Bacillaceae.